GACGAACGCUGGCGGCGUGCUUAACACAUGCAAGUCGAACGGUAAGGCCCUUCGGGGUACACGAGUGGCGAACGGGUGAGUAACACGUGGGUGAUCUGCCCUGCACUUCGGGAUAAGCCUGGGAAACUGGGUCUAAUACCGGAUAGGACUCCGGACUGCAUGGUCUGGGGUGGAAAGCUUUUGCGGUGUGGGAUGGGCCCGCGGCCUAUCAGCUUGUUGGUGGGGUGAUGGCCUACCAAGGCGACGACGGGUAGCCGGCCUGAGAGGGUGACCGGCCACACUGGGACUGAGAUACGGCCCAGACUCCUACGGGAGGCAGCAGUGGGGAAUAUUGCACAAUGGGCGCAAGCCUGAUGCAGCGACGCCGCGUGAGGGAUGAAGGCCUUCGGGUUGUAAACCUCUUUUAGCAGGGAAGAAGCGAAAGUGACGGUACCUGCAGAAAAAGCACCGGCUAACUACGUGCCAGCAGCCGCCGUAA
This 478-nucleotide ribosomal RNA is filed under the name uncultured bacterium. Its description in RNAcentral is "partial 16S ribosomal RNA". It matches the Rfam family "Bacterial small subunit ribosomal RNA", at positions 28 to 523 of the family's 1533-position model. The record is from RNAcentral.